Molecule: ribosomal RNA, 863 nt
Filed under: uncultured bacterium
Lineage: Bacteria
Description: bacterial SSU rRNA
Rfam family: Bacterial small subunit ribosomal RNA
Source: RNAcentral
CGGUAAUACGUAGUGGUGCGAGCGUUGUCCGGAAUUACUGGGCGUAAAGGGCUCGUAGGUGGUUUGUCGCGUCGUCUGUGAAAUUCCGGGGCUUAACUCCGGGCGUGCAGGCGAUACGGGCAUAACUUGAGUACUGUAGGGGUAACUGGAAUUCCUGGUGUAGCGGUGAAAUGCGCAGAUAUCAGGAGGAACACCGAUGGCGAAGGCAGGUUACUGGGCAGUUACUGACGCUGAGGAGCGAAAGCAUGGGUAGCGAACAGGAUUAGAUACCCUGGUAGUCCAUGCCGUAAACGGUGGGCGCUAGGUGUGAGGGUCUUUUCACGACUUUCGUGCCGUAGCUAACGCAUUAAGCGCCCCGCCUGGGGAGUACGGCCGCAAGGCUAAAACUCAAAGGAAUUGACGGGGGCCCGCACAAGCGGCGGAGCAUGUGGAUUAAUUCGAUGCAACGCGAAGAACCUUACCUGGGCUUGACAUACACCGGAUCGGGCUAGAGAUAGUCUUUCCCUUUGUGGCUGGUGUACAGGUGGUGCAUGGUUGUCGUCAGCUCGUGUCGUGAGAUGUUGGGUUAAGUCCCGCAACGAGCGCAACCCUUGUCUUAUGUUGCCAGCAUUUGGUUGGGGACUCAUGAGAGACUGCCGGGGUCAACUCGGAGGAAGGUGGGGAUGACGUCAAAUCAUCAUGCCCCUUAUGUCCAGGGCUUCACACAUGCUACAAUGGUCGGUACAACGCGCAGCGACACUGUGAGGUGGAGCGAAUCGCUGAAAGCCGGCCUUAGUUCGGAUUGGGGUCUGCAACUCGACCCCAUGAAGUCGGAGUCGCUAGUAAUCACAGAUCAGCAACGCUGCGGUGAAUACGUUCCCGGG